CAAUAGCGUAUAUUAAAGUUGUUGCAGUUAAAAAGCUCGUAGUUGGAUUUCUGGUGGGAGCGAUCGGUCUGGCGCUUAGCGCGAGUACUUGCAUCGUCUCCGGCCAUCCUUGGGGAGAGUCUGUCUGGCAUUAGGUUGUCGGGCAGAGGAUCUUCAUCGUUUACUGUGAAAAAAUUAGAGUGUUCAAAGCAGGCUUAUGCCGUUGAAUAUAUUAGCAUGGAAUAAUAAGAUAGGACUUUGGUACUAUUUUGUUGGUUUGCGCACCAAAGUAAUGAUUAAUAGGGACAGUUGGGGGUAUUCGUAUUCCGUUGUCAGAGGUGAAAUUCUUGGAUUACGGAAGACGAACUACUGCGAAAGCAUUUACCAAGGAUGUUUUCAUUAA
Molecule: ribosomal RNA, 382 nt
Filed under: uncultured eukaryote
Lineage: Eukaryota
Description: partial 18S ribosomal RNA
Rfam family: Eukaryotic small subunit ribosomal RNA
Source: RNAcentral